This 497-nucleotide ribosomal RNA is filed under the name uncultured bacterium. Its description in RNAcentral is "partial 16S ribosomal RNA". It matches the Rfam family "Bacterial small subunit ribosomal RNA", at positions 29 to 507 of the family's 1533-position model. The record is from RNAcentral.
ACGAACGCUGGCGGCGUGCCUAAUACAUGCAAGUCGCACGAGAGCGACCGGUGCUUGCACUGGUCAAUCUAGUGGCGAACGGGUGAGUAACACGUGGGUAACCUGCCCAUCAGAGGGGGAUAACAUCCGGAAACGGAUGCUAAAACCGCAUAGGUCUUCGAGCCGCAUGGCUUGAAGAGGAAAAGAGGCGCAAGCUUCUGCUGAUGGAUGGACCCGCGGUGCAUUAGCUAGUUGGUGAGGUAACGGCUCACCAAGGCCGUGAUGCAUAGCCGACCUGAGAGGGUGAUCGGCCACAUUGGGACUGAGACACGGCCCAAACUCCUACGGGAGGCAGCAGUAGGGAAUCUUCCGCAAUGGACGCAAGUCUGACGGAGCAACGCCGCGUGAGUGAAGAAGGUUUUCGGAUCGUAAAACUCUGUUGUUAGAGAAGAACAAGUGCUAGAGUAACUGUUAGCGCCUUGACGGUAUCUAACCAGAAAGCCACGGCUAACUACGUG